This 73-nucleotide transfer RNA is filed under the name Marichromatium gracile. RNAcentral's name for it is "tRNA-Thr". It matches the Rfam family "tRNA". Rfam says of the family: Transfer RNA (tRNA) molecules are approximately 80 nucleotides in length. Their secondary structure includes four short double-helical elements and three loops (D, anti-codon, and T loops). The record is from RNAcentral. RNAcentral also lists the same sequence under 2 other names. Lineage: Bacteria; Pseudomonadati; Pseudomonadota; Gammaproteobacteria; Chromatiales; Chromatiaceae.
GCCGAUGUAGCUCAGUUGGUAGAGCAACGCAUUCGUAAUGCGUGGGUCAGCGGUUCGAAUCCGCUCAUCGGCU